GUCCGGUGAAGUGUUCGGAUCGCGGCGACGUGGGCGGUUCGCUGCCGGCGACGUCGCGAGAAGUCCACUGAACCUUAUCAUUUAGAGGAAGGAGAAGUCGUAACAAGGUUUCCGUAGGUGAACCUGCGGAAGGAUCAUUGUCGAGACCCGAAAGACUUGCGAACCUGUUUAAAAACAACGGGGAAUGAGUGGGCUGGGCUUAGCCGCCUUUCCUUCCUCAUUCCCCCCUGCGAUCGAGCAGGCGUGCGCGGAGCUCUCGGGCAACGUGUUUGUCUGCUCGUCCAGAAACGAACCCCGGCGCGAACCGCGCCAAGGACGAUUGAACGAGCCUGUGCACGUGCCUGCCCGUCUUCGGAUGGUGUUGGCGUGCACGUCUCUUGAAUGAGCAAACGACUCUCGGCAACGGAUAUCUCGGCUCUUGCAUCGAUGAAGAACGUAGCGAAAUGCGAUACUUGGUGUGAAUUGCAGAAUCCCGUGAACCAUCGAGUCUUUGAACGCAAGUUGCGCCCGAUGCCAUUAGGCUGAAGGCACGUCUGCCUGGGCGUCACGCAUGGCGUCGCCCACUCACCCCGUGCCUCUGUGGGCGGAAGGUGUGUGAGCGGAUAUUGGCCCCCCGUUCACGUUCGUGCUCGGUCGGUCUAAAAUGAAAGUCCCCAACGACGGACAUCACGGCGAGUGGUGGUUGCCAGACCGUCCCGACGCGUCGUGCAUGCUGUUCUUUGUCGUUGGCCGGCUCAUCGACCCCCGAGUACCGUCAGGUACUCGGUACCUCGACUGCGACCCCAGGUCAGGCGGGAUCACCCGCUGAGUUUAAGCAUAUCAAUAA
This 826-nucleotide ribosomal RNA is filed under the name Calluna vulgaris (heather flower). Its description in RNAcentral is "eukaryotic LSU rRNA". The stretch from base 392 to 547 matches the Rfam family "5.8S ribosomal RNA". The record is from RNAcentral. Lineage: Eukaryota; Viridiplantae; Streptophyta; Magnoliopsida; Ericales; Ericaceae.